This is a long non-coding RNA of Pogoniulus pusillus (Red-fronted tinkerbird), 985 nucleotides long. RefSeq lists it as uncharacterized. The transcript has 4 exons. Lineage: Eukaryota; Metazoa; Chordata; Aves; Piciformes; Lybiidae. The record is from RefSeq and is a predicted model, not a curated record.
UCUAGAGGUCUGUCCAAAAUGUGAAUCUUUUGAGGUUCAGAAAAGGAUGAUUAAUUCAUUUUUCAUGCUAAUACAUUAAUUGGUUCCAGGCAGACUGGGAGCAGCAGAGCCAAGGUAUUGCAUGAAGGCUGCAGUCCAGUUUUUCUCCAUGAUGUGCUGUUAGGAGAGGUGAGAUAUCCAGAAAAAAUUAGAAGUAGCAUGAAAAAAAGAAGCAGCUGACCAUAAACUACUUAGAAAGGUCUGAUAUACUGAUUAUAAGAAUAAAGUUCAUCUGAGGUAACGGAGUUUAUUCUUUUCUCAGGCAUCCAGCCUGGAUCUCAGCUGCAAAGAUCAGAAAUUCCAGAUGUUUUCUAAGUCUCUUUCUGUCAACAACUGAGUGAUCUGAGGAUACUGGCAUCUUUGUGUGCAAACUAUUUAUGAAGAUAAGAGGCUGUUUUGAGAGUUCAGUCAAGGCUACGUCAAUGACUGAGGUGAAUGCUACUAGGUCUUCAGGUAAACAGGUGGUAAUCCUGAGAAAUUUGACCUUUACUGUCAUGUAUUGAGCAUUCAUGUGGAGCUCUUUUCAAUUUCAUGAGACCCUGUGCCAUCUCAGAAGUAUCUGUGCAUAGUGUGGCACAUGACAGUGCUCUUUCAAUUAUUCUAUUGGUUAUGAAGAACUUUCAUUUCCUCUCUGUGGUAAAUAUGCAGCCUUCCUCUCUGCUCCUAUGGUAUCAAUAUGCAUAUGUGCAAUUGCUGUAAAAUAAAAGGUAGGGCACUUAAAAGUAGGAUUUCUUCAGAAUAUGCAUGUGUCCCCUACUUUUUCUCCCUGCAGUGGACAUAAAGGAAGACAGAGAAUAAUUUUUUCUUCUAGAGAAAGGAAUGGGAGAGAAACUACCAUAGAAGGAAAAAUUAAAUGGUCAGAAGGCAGGUAUUUCCCCUGACAUCUUCUGUGACAUGAAUGAAUUUGUGCACUGCAUACAUGAAAAAAAGCUCCAUUUGCUGGUAA